Molecule: long non-coding RNA, 1169 nt
Organism: Motacilla alba alba
Lineage: Eukaryota; Metazoa; Chordata; Aves; Passeriformes; Motacillidae
Exons: 3
Source: RefSeq, a predicted model, not a curated record
UGCCCGCCGCUCACCCCUCAGAACUGCCCCGCUGCCCGCUGCCUCUCCAUAGGGCGCUGCUGCAGAGUCCCCGCGGGUGCCCGAGCGAUCCCCCCUCCCCGGGCGCCGCCGCCGCCGCUCAUGCGUUGUGCCUCCACCUCCUCCUCCUCCUCCUCGCCCGGGCCGGGUCCUCGAGGAAGCGCGCACAGAAAAAAUAAACAAAAAAAACACCACCAAAACUAUGGAGAGAUGUCGACCAAAACAAAAUGGCUUGGCUUCCCAGCCUGGGAUCUUCCUCGCCUCUUGCUUCCCUCCGCUCUCGCCAAGUCCGCCGCGGCCCGGCCGGGUGGUACUUACACGCGGCCCCCCUCCAUGCGCCCCCGGCUCGGGGCGGGCGGCGCUGGCUCUGCCCUGCGCGGCGGCGGGGCCGUCAGUGCUGGGCGGGCGCUCGCAUCUCUGCCCGCCGCGCCGCGCUGCUCAGCGCCCCGGCGCUCCUCUGCGGCAUCCGCGCCGCUCGGCCGGGCGCGGCGGCGGCGGCGGGCGGCGGCGGGGCUCGGCGCGGCGCGGGGCACUGGCAGGGCUCCCCGGCCCGAUCUCCAUGUACAGCUACAUGUUUAGGGCCGCUCGGGUUAAUAUAUGUCGUCAGAAGCGGCGACCGCCAAUGGCCGGGGCGGGGGCGGAGCCCGCCGCCCUCCGCAAUAAAACUUUUUGAUGUUCGCUCUGCUAAUUGCCGAGCUCCUCUUUUAGGAUUGGCUGCCCCUCCGCAUCCCUAAUGUAAUUAAAACAAGGGGGGAAAAAUUAUCAUGGAGGCAGAGGUUAAUGCAAGUGUUUAGCAGAUGCCUUACAGUAAAAUCUGCAUUAAAAAAAAAAAAAAAGAAAAGAAAAAGAAAAAAACCCAAACAACAAAACCCCCCCUACAAACUCGUUAAAACUUAAAUAUCGGAUAAUCUCAAACCAGCUUACUGCCUGCCCUCGUGCACCUCCACCAGCCUUCACCCGAGUGACUCAAGAGCCUGAAAUCGGUCUCAUGCUUCUUGGACUGGUAUGAUCGGAAAGUUAAGAAGCCGGAAAAUGGAGAGGUGAAUGUCAUGCACCUCCCCAGACCUGGAGGGAAACGGAGCUGCGGCCAAAAGGAGUGGGUGUAAAUGCGACAACAAAAAUAAAUGCUUUAUAUCACCCUGCAGAACUUA